UAUCAGCAAAAAAAAUUAUAGUUAUUGAAAAUAAAAUAAUCCCAGAAAGAAAAUAAAGUUAAAAUGGCCUUAUUACAACCCAAAAAUAAAUAGUAAAUAAGAUAAACUAAAGAAAACCAGUCACUUAUUUCAAAUGCCCAAAAGCGAUCACCGUAGCCACUCUGAAUCCCCUCUGGCUCCAAGUCCCCCCAUCAAGGCUCACCUGCAAGGUUAAGGAAGGGGUGAGUUUGGAAACUCAGUGUGCAACAAGCCCCUUUUAGAGCCCAAGACAAUAUCAGCCUGCUGGGCCUAAGCCCAAAUUCAAUCUCAACAUAUACUGGGCCGAAGCCUUUUAUAAACGGUAUGGCCCAUAGGCCCAUUUCAAUAAUACAUGCAACAUCAAUGAACAUAUGCAAGCCCAUUUGGGGAGACUACUCAAUCCACCAACCGCUAUUCUCCACCCGUACCAACCAAGCUCUCCAUGUGGGGAAUAACUCAACCCACCCAACCAAACUCUCCACUGGCAGCAUAGCUGCUUUAUCAUAUAACUGGAGGCCUAGCCUCUUUUAAUAACUGGGGCAAAGCCCUUUUUGAUAAACUGGGGCAAAACCCUUUUUGAUAAACUGGGGCAAAGCCCUUUUCGGUAAACUAGGGCAUAGCCCUUUUGCACUUCCUCCAUCUAUAUAAAAACCAACCCAUGCAUAAAUGAAUACAUCAUGUGCAUAUCAUAUCAAAUCAUGUAUAUCAAAAUCUCAUGCAUCAAACUUAUAAUUAAACCCUAGGGGUAAAAUAGUCAUUUUCAUAUUAUAAGGGUAAUUUCGUAAUUUUACCAAGAUAUCAGAGUUCCCAUGUUCAUCAAAAAUUAUCAAUAACUCCAAGUGUUUAAACAAUGAUUUUAACGCAGUUUAUCAAAUUCAGGCCUUUUGGGCCCAAAACCCCUAAUGGGCUCUAUAUAGCCGAUUUAGUCAUCUAGGCCCAUUUAGCCUAUAUUUCAUAGCGGUAUUAACAGUCUUAACGCGCAAUUUAACAGGAUUUCAUUUGUUACCAACUUUACCCAAAUGGGCCCGGAAGCUCAUUGGGCCCGAUUUUAGCCCCUCGAGGCCCAACUUACCAUCGUGCACCAAACCGUUCCCUUACCUGUUCCAACGAUCCCGAGCAUCGAACUUAGCAAAUCUAAUUGACCUAUGAGCGUUCGCAUGCUCAAGAGUCCUCGAAAUGCCAGAAUUUCGGCAUUUUGGCUUUUCGGCGAAUAUCGAGUUAAGCUACGAAAGAAGGUUCGUUACACACCUGAUUUACGAUAUUCCUUGACAAGAUCUCCUACGCGAUUUCUCCUAUAAUCAACCGCUUAUAGAUUAGAUCAUGUUAAUAUUUAAACCAAAUCGAAAACUACCUAUUAUCAUCACUUACAUAUUCGACCACCAUCCAUAAUGGCCCUAGAAUUCAUACCUUUACCGAAAUUGAUGACUAGAUCUAGAUUUAGUCACUCUGAUGAUCCAAGCUUUUCACACACUCCUCGAUCGGCAGCCUUUAAUCCUCAUUAGCACCAACAAACCAAAUAACACCAAAAAAACCCUUCCAGUCUUAGUCGACAGCCACCCUAUGUAUAUAGGAUUUUUAGCUUUUCUUAAACCACAAGAUACAAAUGGAAAGAAGGUUCGAAUACUUACCAAGAGAUCUACUCGUUGAAGAACGUUCCAAAUACCUUUCUACCCCAAAUCCAUUGUGAAUCCAACUUAAACAUGCGUAGAAAAUAGAUCUAAAUAUUAAUUCCCGAAUCACUAAAAUAUGAGGCUUUUUGGCUUUUGGAUCUAUCCUAGAAUAUGGCUAUUGCGAUCUAAAAGAAAAAAUAGGUGACGAUAAGUUCACCAUCGAAGAGACAAUUAGUAGAGGAAGAGAUGUAAGAUUAGAGAUUCGGUCUUUUGAAAGAUUAAAAGGAAAGGAGAUAUGGUUUCAACCAAAGGAGUAAUCGGCAACCAAUAUUUGAGAAGAAAAAGUUGUUUUAAAAAGAAUUUGGCUUCGAGGAAAGAAAAUAGAAAAGGAGAGAAUUGUUC
Molecule: long non-coding RNA, 2030 nt
Filed under: Gossypium barbadense (sea-island cotton)
Lineage: Eukaryota; Viridiplantae; Streptophyta; Magnoliopsida; Malvales; Malvaceae
Description: long non-coding RNA (GBAR_LNC003237)
Source: RNAcentral